RNAcentral lists this ribosomal RNA (1195 nucleotides) under human gut metagenome. RNAcentral's name for it is "bacterial SSU rRNA". It matches the Rfam family "Bacterial small subunit ribosomal RNA", at positions 322 to 1517 of the family's 1533-position model. The record is from RNAcentral.
AGACACGGCCCAAACUCCUACGGGAGGCAGCAGUAGGGAAUUUUCGUCAAUGGGGGGAACCCUGAACGAGCAAUGCCGCGUGAGUGAGGAAGGUCUUCGGAUCGUAAAGCUCUGUUGUAAGAGAAAAACGGCACUCAUAGGGAAUGAUGAGUGAGUGAUGGUAUCUUACCAGAAAGUCACGGCUAACUACGUGCCAGCAGCCGCGGUAAUACGUAGGUGGCGAGCGUUAUCCGGAAUGAUUGGGCGUAAAGGGUGCGUAGGUGGCAGAUCAAGUCUGGAGUAAAAGGUAUGGGCUCAACCCGUACUGGCUCUGGAAACUGAUCAGCUAGAGAACAGAAGAGGACGGCGGAACUCCAUGUGUAGCGGUAAAAUGCGUAGAUAUAUGGAAGAACACCGGUGGCGAAGGCGGCCGUCUGGUCUGGAUUCUGACACUGAAGCACGAAAGCGUGGGGAGCAAAUAGGAUUAGAUACCCUAGUAGUCCACGCCGUAAACGAUGAGAACUAGGUGUUGGGGGAAUAACUCAGUGCCGCAGUUAACGCAGUAAGUUCUCCGCCUGGGGAGUAUGCACGCAAGUGUGAAACUCAAAGGAAUUGACGGGGGCCCGCACAAGCGGUGGAGUAUGUGGUUUAAUUCGAAGCAACGCGAAGAACCUUACCAGGCCUUGACAUCCCUUGCAGAGGUAUAGAGAUAUAUCCGAGGUUAUCAAGGAGACAGGUGGUGCAUGGUUGUCGUCAGCUCGUGUCGUGAGAUGUUGGGUUAAGUCCCGCAACGAGCGCAACCCUUGUGAUAUGUUACUAACAUUGAGUUGAGGACUCAUAUCAGACUGCCGGUGAUAAACCGGAGGAAGGUGGGGAUGACGUCAAAUCAUCAUGCCCCUUAUGGCCUGGGCUACACACGUACUACAAUGGCGUCUACAAAGAGCGGCAAGCCUGUGAAGGCAAGCGAAUCUCAUAAAGGACGUCUCAGUUCGGAUUGAAGUCUGCAACCCGACUUCAUGAAGCUGGAAUCGCUAGUAAUCGCGAAUCAGCAUGUCGCGGUGAAUACGUUCUCGGGCCUUGUACACACCGCCCGUCAAACCAUGGGAGUUGGUAAUGCCCGAAGCCGGUGGCAUAACCCUUCGGGGAGUGAGCCGUCGAAGGCAGGACCGAUGACUGGGGUUAAGUCGUAACAAGGUAUCCCUACGGGAACGUGGGG